Molecule: ribosomal RNA, 253 nt
Filed under: uncultured bacterium
Lineage: Bacteria
Description: partial 16S ribosomal RNA
Rfam family: Bacterial small subunit ribosomal RNA
Source: RNAcentral
UACGUAGGGUGCAAGCGUUAAUCGGAAUUACUGGGCGUAAAGCGCGUGUAGGCGGCUUUGCAAGUCGGGUGUGAAAUCCCCAGGCCUAACCUGGGAACUGCAUUCGAGACUGCAUGGCUGGAGUAUGGGAGAGGGAAGUGGAAUUUCAGGUGUAGCGGUGAAAUGCGUAGAUAUCUGAAGGAACAUCAGUGGCGAAAGCGACUUCCUGGACCAAUACUGACGCUCAUGUGCGAAAGCGUGGGGAGCAAACAGG